RNAcentral lists this unclassified non-coding RNA (300 nucleotides) under uncultured Phaeosphaeriaceae. RNAcentral describes it as "sequence contains 5.8S rRNA gene, ITS2". The stretch from base 1 to 86 matches the Rfam family "5.8S ribosomal RNA", at positions 67 to 154 of the family's 154-position model. The record is from RNAcentral. Lineage: Eukaryota; Fungi; Ascomycota; Dothideomycetes; Pleosporales; Phaeosphaeriaceae.
GUGUAUAAGAGACAGGUGAAUCAUCGAAUCUUUGAACGCACAUUGCGCCCCUUGGUAUUCCAUGGGGCAUGCCUGUUCGAGCGUCAUUUGUACCCUCAAGCUCUGCUUGGUGUUGGGUGUUUGUCCUCUCCUUGCGUUUGGACUCGCCUUAAAGCAAUUGGCAGCCAGUGUUUUGGUAUUGAAGCGCAGCACAUUUUGCGAUUCUAGCCGAUAAUACUUGCGUCCAUAAGCCUUUUUUAACUUUUGACCUCGGAUCAGGUAGGAAUACCCGCUGAACUUAAGCAUAUCAAUAAGCGGAGG